UUAGCGCUGCUUUCCCAAGACAGGUUUAUAUGUGAUUAUGAUCUUCAGGCUUUGCCUAACCAGGUGGGCUUACUUUCCAAAUGUAUAAAGUAUGAUUGAGUUAUUAAGCUCUAAAUGUUUCAAUGAAAUGCAAACUGUUUAUUUAAUGAAAUGAAAACUGUUUAUCCAAUAAAAUGUUUAUGUGCACUCUGCUCUGUUUAAGGCUCGCAAUUCAUGGAUCGAUCGAGGUUCUCUUAUGGCCUAACACGUUAUUUGAGAAUUGUGUACACUUGUUAGUUGUUUCGGUGGGUUGAUCUCCAUCGGGCACUAAUUCAUGUAAGAGGCGUUAUAAGGGUGCUUGGCUGGAUGUGUUCCGGAGCAUGUAUCAUGUAAGGCCUGCCUGGGUAGCGUCCCGAGGUCAAUUCAACUUGUCUGAGUUACGUCCUCAGGGCAAGUGUCAUGGGAGAAAUGGAUCCGUCGAUGGCUAAAAGGUCCGGGAUCACAGCGAGUAACAGAAAGGGAGUGUGACAUGUGCGCACAAAUGAAAGAAAAUGUUUUAACAUGCUUAGAAGUACUUCUUUCAAUUUAAAACCUUCUAAGUCAUGUCAAGUAUGAUUGGAUAAACUGCUCUUUACGAAAAUAUGAAAUGUUUCAGAAAAUGCAUGCCCACUAAGUACAUUAGUACUUAGCCCAAAAUUACUUUCAAAUGUUUUCAGGUUGGCUGGCUGGUGCUGACGGGACGGAGCUGAGGCUAGAGUUAAAAUUUCUAUGUUAGACUUCCGCUGUAGCAAUUACUCAUAUCAGUCUUUUGUUUUUACAACUUAAGAUCUUCAUGUUAAAUUUCAAAUGAUAUACAUGACCGAGCUUAGACUCUUCACUACUAAAUUUAUGCUAAUGAAUGUCGGUUGUCAGAAGCAUGAAACAAAACUUGUGAUCCAAAGGGGCAUAGCCCGAAUUUCAAAUCCUAUUUCGGUUUUAACAAGGUUGUUCCUUGUUUAUUUCUAUGAAUUAUUCACACCUCGAUCAUAUUUAUUCCUUCAAGAAUUGGGGUGUGACA
RNAcentral lists this long non-coding RNA (1036 nucleotides) under Salvia miltiorrhiza (redroot sage). RNAcentral describes it as "long non-coding RNA (SMIL_LNC008399)". Lineage: Eukaryota; Viridiplantae; Streptophyta; Magnoliopsida; Lamiales; Lamiaceae. The record is from RNAcentral.